Molecule: ribosomal RNA, 644 nt
Filed under: uncultured bacterium
Lineage: Bacteria
Description: bacterial SSU rRNA
Rfam family: Bacterial small subunit ribosomal RNA
Source: RNAcentral
UAAAGGAAGCGAUUCCGGCUACGGAUGGUCAUGCGUCGCAUUAGCUAGUUGGCGGGGUAACGGCCCACCAAGGCGACGAUGCGUAGGGGUUCUGAGAGGAAGGUCCCCCACACUGGUACUGAGACACGGACCAGACUCCUACGGGAGGCAGCAGUGAGGAAUAUUGGUCAAUGGCCGCAGGGCUGAACCAGCCAAGUCGCGUGAGGGAUGACGGUCCUAUGGAUUGUAAACCUCUUUUGUCAGGGAGCAAAGGGCGCCACGUGUGGCGUUUUGCGAGUACCUGAAGAAAAAGCAUCGGCUAACUCCGUGCCAGCAGCCGCGGUAAUACGGAGGAUGCGAGCGUUAUCCGGAUUUAUUGGGUUUAAAGGGUGCGCAGGCGGAAUGUCAAGUCAGCGGUAAAAUUUCGGGGCUCAACCCCGUCGUGCCGUUGAAACUGGCGUUCUUGAGUGAGCGAGAAGUAUGCGGAAUGCGUGGUGUAGCGGUGAAAUGCAUAGAUAUCACGCAGAACUCCGAUUGCGAAGGCAGCAUACCGGCGCUCAACUGACGCUCAUGCACGAAAGCGUGGGUAUCGAACAGGAUUAGAUACCCUGGUAGUCCACGCAGUAAACGAUGAAUACUAACUGUCCGGGCAGAAUGAUGCCUGG